ACGCAGCGAGCUCUGCCCCAACCUGUGGAGAAACUUUGUUAAAUCGAACCAACGUUUCUUUAUUAGUACAAGAAACAUUAAAGAGUUGAGGUGGAGAUAGACGAUCUCGAAGAUCUGCUUUUCUUCUUUUCAGUCCGCUGCGGAGACCAGCUCGCGGGGGAGAAACGACGGGACGGAAGGAGGAUCGGACAAAACCUUGUUAUCGAGGGAUCCUAGUCGGGAAGGAAGUGUUCCAGGCAGAUGUAGAGCAGCUGUUGCUGACUACACAGGAGGUUUCUUGGAGUUUGGACAAGCAGGACCCAGAGGAACUAUGGCCCAAUCAGGAUGGAGAACAAUUGAUGAUGGGCUGAUGGAGAGUGUCACCAGUCUUCCAAUGAUGAUGGCUCCUGUGAAGACUGAAGAUGAGGAAAAAGAACUUCAGCCUUGGUCAUUUUCAGCCCACCUUCAUCAAACCCAAACUGAAGGUAACACAGAAGUAAAGGCUCCAACCAACAACCCAGAUAAACAGAUUAAAUCAGAAACAGAUGGAGAGGACUAUGGAGUACCAGAAAUAACCAGUGACCCAAACAGUUAUUUACAGCAACACAGUGACAUAAAGGCUUCAGGCUCUUCUGAGAUAAAACAUUUGCCACAUUUUGGACCUGAAAUGAAAGACGAAGAUAAAAGCUGGAAUGACCA
Melanotaenia boesemani (Boeseman's rainbowfish) is the source of this 678-nucleotide long non-coding RNA. RefSeq lists it as uncharacterized. Lineage: Eukaryota; Metazoa; Chordata; Actinopteri; Atheriniformes; Melanotaeniidae. The transcript is spliced from 3 exons. The record is from RefSeq and is a predicted model, not a curated record.